CAGGGUGAGGCAUGCCAGGGCAAAGGAGGAUGCACUGGGCAGAGGGAUGAACGUCCCAGUGGAGGAGGCGGUGGUGGCUGUUCUCAGGAGAAAGGCAUGCAGAGAGCCAGGCACCCAAAGGAGGAUGUUCUCGAGUCGAGGAACCUAAUCUUUCCCAGCAGGGAUCGAAGCAGCUCUGGGCAUUGACAGUCACUCACCAGGCAAUGACUGUCACGUCGGCGCAAAGAGCCAGCCGUCGACAGGGGUCGACCACAUCAAACGGGGCUGUCAGGGGGCCCUGCUUGUGAACUGUGGCAACAAACACCUCCUGAUCCUCACCUACAGCUCAAGAACAGACACCCGCCGCUGUGCUUCCAGCCACUGCCUCCGCUGAGAAAAGAUGUUCUGUCCGGACCUCAUUUCCUCCUCCACUGCACCCCUCCCAGCGACCACCACCUUCCCUUGUCUCUCCCCCUCUCUGUCAAGUAGUGCUUGUGCUAACCUCCCGUCUGCUGACACACAAAGGCUCACUAAAGUGGUUUUUAUGAGUGUAUGUGAAGGGAAGGCCGGUGCUGCUGGAGGUCAGAAAGUGUGCAGGAUGUGAACAACAUAGUACAGUUUUACUGUCAAUUUGAACCAGAGUCACGCUUGAUUUUAACUUUUUUGGGUUGCGACUUUAAAAGUCACAGGGUGAAAGGAGGUGAUGUAUUUCAACAGGUUGCGACAAGUACUCUUUCCUGGAUUACCUACAACAUUUUUUUUUUUAGCUUUGUAGUGAUGGUUCACACUUAAAGUUAGUUCUUUAACUGGGUUAAAAAGAUGUUUCUGUCUUCAGAAAAAGACAUCAGGCAUUGAAAGAUUCCUCUAUUAACAAUAAUAAAACAUUAUACAAAAUGAAUUGAAAUUAAAAUGAAUCAAAAUUAAAAUUGUGGCAAUUACUGUAUUAGCUUCCAAUCAAAGCAUAGUCAUUGCUAUGAUUAAAAAAAAUGUUUUCAUGGCAUCUGUUUGGCCAGUCAAUAAAGAACAGGGUCUUGAGGUCCUCUUCAGAUACCAUACUUUUAAAGCAUUGUGCUUGAUUAUGAUGACAGAUAAAAUAUGGUGCCUACAAAAAAGAAGACCAAAUUAAACCACCACUGACAUUGAUUUUUCCAGGAAAUAUUGGUAAAGCCUAACCCAACACUCAGGCAAACUGUUCCUUUAAUCAAGCAAAUGAAUAUGUUUGAUGUGUACAUCAAUGGACUCUGUGUACAUUCCUAUACAUGUCUUAGACAUGAGUUAAUUAAAACAAAUUAAAACAAUACAUGAAAUUUGUCAUACCUUUAUGACUGGUUCACCCUCUCGCAAGUUCAAAUGAAUGUGGACACUGCCAUCUAUUGGUCAAACAUGUGUAAGUUUUAUUUGAAAACGAUGAGGGUGCACAAGUGAUACCAAAAUAUAUGUAUAGUAUUUAAAGUAUUGGGAACCUAGUUAAGUUUUACUCAUAGCAAUGAAAGAUAGAGACUUUAAAUGUUAGAGACUCUUUGGUAUUUAUGCUUUGGUGUGUGGACCACUCCGCAUUCUUGCUCCUGAGAAUAACUGUCCUGGGAUCUACUAUCUUAGCAGUGGACAAUGGACCAAAGACCUGUACUUAAUAGUAUUAUUAUUUUUGGUAUUACUUCGUGUGCUAAAUCUUAAC
Poecilia reticulata (guppy) is the source of this 1654-nucleotide non-coding RNA. NCBI's taxonomy places the organism in Eukaryota, Metazoa, Chordata, Actinopteri, Cyprinodontiformes, Poeciliidae. The record is from RefSeq and is a predicted model, not a curated record.